This 661-nucleotide ribosomal RNA is filed under the name Streptomyces sp. R1O54. RNAcentral's name for it is "bacterial SSU rRNA". It matches the Rfam family "Bacterial small subunit ribosomal RNA", at positions 112 to 786 of the family's 1533-position model. Lineage: Bacteria; Bacillati; Actinomycetota; Actinomycetes; Kitasatosporales; Streptomycetaceae. The record is from RNAcentral.
AACACGUGGGCAAUCUGCCCUGCACUCUGGGACAAGCCCUGGAAACGGGGUCUAAUACCGGAUACUGACCUUCACAGGCAUCUGUGAUGGUCGAAAGCUCCGGCGGUGCAGGAUGAGCCCGCGGCCUAUCAGCUUGUUGGUGAGGUAGUGGCUCACCAAGGCGACGACGGGUAGCCGGCCUGAGAGGGCGACCGGCCACACUGGGACUGAGACACGGCCCAGACUCCUACGGGAGGCAGCAGUGGGGAAUAUUGCACAAUGGGCGAAAGCCUGAUGCAGCGACGCCGCGUGAGGGAUGACGGCCUUCGGGUUGUAAACCUCUUUCAGCAGGGAAGAAGCGAAAGUGACGGUACCUGCAGAAGAAGCGCCGGCUAACUACGUGCCAGCAGCCGCGGUAAUACGUAGGGCGCGAGCGUUGUCCGGAAUUAUUGGGCGUAAAGAGCUCGUAGGCGGCUUGUCACGUCGGUUGUGAAAGCCCGGGGCUUAACCCCGGGUCUGCAGUCGAUACGGGCAGGCUAGAGUUCGGUAGGGGAGAUCGGAAUUCCUGGUGUAGCGGUGAAAUGCGCAGAUAUCAGGAGGAACACCGGUGGCGAAGGCGGAUCUCUGGGCCGAUACUGACGCUGAGGAGCGAAAGCGUGGGGAGCGAACAGGAUUAGAUACC